AUUUACCCCAUCAGUAGAACAGAGAGUGAUACAGGUGGAGUAAAGUGAGAGAAGAGUGAUACAGAGGAAAGUGAGACAAUGUGUGUAUGGAGUAAAGAAGUGACAGUGUAGGGAUGUAGUGAUGAUGGAGGAAUGAGAGUGAGUAGGUGUAUUAAGUGAUAGUGGAGUAAUGGAGUAAAUGUGUAGGGAUUGAGUGAUGAUGGAGGAGUGUGAGUGAGUAGGUGUAUGGAGUGAAUGUGUAGAGAUGGAGUGAUGGUGUAGGGAUGGAGUGAUGAUAGAGGAGUGUGAGUGAGUAGGUGUAUGGAGUGACAGUGGAGUAAUGAAGUGAUGGUGUAGGGAUGGAGUGAUGACGAAAGAGUGUGAGUGAGUAGGUGUAUAGAGUGAUAGUGGAGUAAUGGAGUGAUGGUGUAGGGACGGAGUGAUGAUGGAGGAGUGUGAGUGAGUAGGUGUAUGGAGUGAAUGUGUAGAGAUGGAGUGAUGUUGUAGGGAUGGAGUGAUGAUAGAGGAGUGUGAGUGAGUAGGUGUAUGGAGUGAUAGUGGAGUAAUAAAGUGAUGGUGUAGGGAUGGAGUGAUGACAGAGGAAUGAGAGUGAGUAGGUGUAUUAAGUGAUAGUGGAGUACUGGAGUGAUGGUGUGGGGAUAAAGUGAUGACGGAGGAGUGUAAGUGAGUGUAUGGAGUGAUUAUUAUGGGAUGGAGUAAAAGAGGGAGCUUGCGGAGUGAUUAUUAUGGGAUGGAGUGAGAGAGUGAGUGUAUGGAGAGAUUAUUAUAGAAUGGAGUGAGUGUAUAU
Long non-coding RNA from Astyanax mexicanus (Mexican tetra), 787 nucleotides. RefSeq lists it as uncharacterized. The transcript is spliced from 3 exons. Lineage: Eukaryota; Metazoa; Chordata; Actinopteri; Characiformes; Acestrorhamphidae. The record is from RefSeq and is a predicted model, not a curated record.